UACGUAGGGGGCAAGCGCUGUCCGGAAUCAUUGGGCGUAAAGAGCGUGUAGGCGGCCUGGUAAGUCCGCUGUGAAAGUCCAGGGCUCAACCCUGGAAUGCCGGUGGAAACUGUCAGGCUCGAGUCCGGAAGAGGCGAGUGGAAUUCCUGGUGUAGCGGUGAAAUGCGUAGAUAUUGGGAGGAACACCAGUGGCGAAGGCGGCUCACUGGACCGGUACUGACGCUGAUGCGCGAAAGCGUGGGGAGCAAACGGG
RNAcentral lists this ribosomal RNA (253 nucleotides) under uncultured bacterium. RNAcentral's name for it is "partial 16S ribosomal RNA". It matches the Rfam family "Bacterial small subunit ribosomal RNA", at positions 524 to 776 of the family's 1533-position model. The record is from RNAcentral.